Entelurus aequoreus (snake pipefish) is the source of this 1352-nucleotide long non-coding RNA. RefSeq lists it as uncharacterized. NCBI's taxonomy places the organism in Eukaryota, Metazoa, Chordata, Actinopteri, Syngnathiformes, Syngnathidae. The record is from RefSeq and is a predicted model, not a curated record. The transcript is spliced from 3 exons.
GUAUUUUCUACACGUCAGACUCAUCUUUCCUCUUUGUCCAGCGGCUCGCCACCUGUGAACACAGAAACACGUUUCAUGAAGGGGUGGACGCCGGCCCCGCCGCCGAGACGAGCUGUCGUCAUGUCGGGCAACACCGCGAAAAUGUGACCCCUUCCUGUUUCCUCAAAUGCCGGGAUCAGAUCGGCGGCUCGACGGAACGCCAGAUCCUCGGCUUUCUCGCGGUGGAGUACAAACCGCGGCUCUUGCUGUACUGGCUGAUGGAGGCAUGUGUCUUCGGCAAUGGUGGAAGGUUGGUCGUCCAGCGCCAUGAUGGAAUUGUGGGUCGUGCAACGUCAUCAUUUCUAAUACUGGCAUGAAAAAAAAAAUCACAGCUUCUCAGUUGUCUGGAGACAGCAGCUUGACUGACCGUCACACCGUCAGAGACGUUGAGAAGAACUGCUUUGUGUCAGCACAAGGCUUCCGAAGACACCCAGACUUCUGUUGGAGUUUUAGUCCAAACGGUGGUGGAGGCAAGUCAACUCAUUCCAAUACUGAUGGUGACCUGCAGCUAGAAAACCCAUUUUUUGCCUUUCUAUGUUAAAAGUCAUGUUGGAUAGAGACAUUAAAAAACAUACCUGAGGCGGUGACACACGUCUCAUGACAAAAUGUGCACAAAGAGAAUAGCCAAGCCGAUGUUGAGCAGGAUUACCAUGCAGAUCAUGAUGGUGUUGGGGCUCUUGUGAAGGAAAGAACAUCAAAAAUAAGUGCAGUAGGUUUAUGACAGUCUGAAAAACCUAAAAGAAGUAACUUCUAACUAAGGCUGGUCAAUUAAUUUUUUCAUAUAAUCCGACCUUGAUUAAUAUCCAUGUUUUUUUUAACCUCCCAGUUUUAAACCAUUUCUUCAACAAAAAAAAAACGCACGAAACAAGGGAAUAGUUUUCAGAUUUUUACAUAUAUUGAGUGAAUAACAAGGCAAACUAAUGCAAUGAACAUAGAACAAUAUUUGAAAUGUUGACUCAACAGUAAAAAAAGUGUAAAAAACCCCAAAAUAGAACUAUUUUAGAGUCUGACUCCUGAGUGUUUGUGCAGGGAUGCAAGAACCAAAAUAAACAAAUUGCCACGUCGGGGAUAAUAAAGCCUUUUGGAAAUGUUAACAAUGCUAUUUUUAAAUUAUGACGCUACAUGUGCUGUUAACAUAAUUGCUACCUGCAAAUGUGCAUCAUCUUUAAUAACAAUACAGAAUAGCUAGUUUCAAGUUAAAAUAAUGGUCCGAUGGCCGAUUAGCAUCGGAAUAAUGCUACGUGAGCUGUAAACAGUAGCAAGCUGCAAAUAUGCUCGUAUUUUAACAAUUUUAGUAUAAUCUCUUGUGUGGU